GAAAUGCGAUAAGUAAUGUGAAUUGCAGAAUUCAGUGAAUCAUCGAAUCUUUGAACGCAUCUUGCGCUCCUUGGUAUUCCUUGGAGCAUACCUGUUUGAGUAUCAUGAAAUCUUCAAAGUAAAUCUUUUGUUAACUCAAUUGGUUUCUACUUUGGUAUUGGAGGUCUUUGCAGCUUCACACCUGCUCCUCUUUGUUCAUUAGCUGGAUCUCAGUGUUAUGCUUGGUUCCACUCGGCGUGAUAAGUUAUCUAUCGCUGAGGACACUGUAAAAGGUGGCCAAGGUAAAUGCAGAUGAACCGCUUCUAAUAGUCCAUUGACUUGGACAAUACUUUUAUGAUCUGAUCUCAAAUCAGGUAGGACUACCCGCUGAACUUAAGC
This 378-nucleotide unclassified non-coding RNA is filed under the name plant metagenome. RNAcentral describes it as "partial contains 5.8S ribosomal RNA, internal transcribed spacer 2, and large subunit ribosomal RNA". The stretch from base 1 to 105 matches the Rfam family "5.8S ribosomal RNA", at positions 50 to 154 of the family's 154-position model. The record is from RNAcentral.